AUGAUUCCUAAUGACUCAUAGUAACUUACUAUUGUAAUAUAGUUGUAUUAAUUGCUGUGUGUAGUCUUUAACCCAUCAUUUAUGGUGGGUUUUUUUUAUU
RNAcentral lists this small RNA (100 nucleotides) under Serratia symbiotica SCt-VLC. Its description in RNAcentral is "RprA RNA". Lineage: Bacteria; Pseudomonadati; Pseudomonadota; Gammaproteobacteria; Enterobacterales; Yersiniaceae. The record is from RNAcentral.